Molecule: ribosomal RNA, 399 nt
Filed under: uncultured bacterium
Lineage: Bacteria
Description: partial 16S ribosomal RNA
Rfam family: Bacterial small subunit ribosomal RNA
Source: RNAcentral
CCUACGGGAGGCAGCAGUGAGGAAUAUUGGUCAAUGGGCGCGAGCCUGAACCAGCCAAGUAGCGUGAAGGAUGACUGCCCUCCGGUUUGUAAACUUCUUUUAUAAAGGAAUAAAGUGAGGCACGUGUGCCUUUUUGUAUGUACUUUAUGAAUAAGGAUCGGCUAACUCCGUGCCAGCAGCCGCGGUAAUACGGAGGAUCCGAGCGUUAUCCGGAUUUAUUGGGUUUAAAGGGAGCGUAGAUGGGUUGUUAAGUCAGUUGUGAAAGUUUGCGGCUCAACCGUAAAAUUGCAAUUGAUACUGGCAGCCUUGAGUACAGUUGAGGUAGGCGGAAUUCGUGGUGUAGCGGUGAAAUGCUUAGAUAUAACGAAGAACUCCGAUUGCGAAGGCAGCCUACUAAAC